This 449-nucleotide ribosomal RNA is filed under the name uncultured bacterium. RNAcentral describes it as "partial 16S ribosomal RNA". It matches the Rfam family "Bacterial small subunit ribosomal RNA", at positions 29 to 523 of the family's 1533-position model. The record is from RNAcentral.
AACGAACGCUGGCGGCAUGCCUAACACAUGCAAGUCGAACGAAGCCUUCGGGCUUAGUGGCGCACGGGUGCGUAACGCGUGGGAAUCUGCCCUCGGGUUCGGAAUAACAGUUAGAAAUGACUGCUAAUACCGGAUGAUGACGUAAGUCCAAAGAUUUAUCGCCCAAGGAUGAGCCCGCGUAAGAUUAGCUUGUUGGUGGGGUAAUGGCCUACCAAGGCGACGAUCUUUAGCUGGUCUGAGAGGAUGAUCAGCCACACUGGGACUGAGACACGGCCCAGACUCCUACGGGAGGCAGCAGUGGGGAAUAUUGGACAAUGGGCGAAAGCCUGAUCCAGCAAUGCCGCGUGAGUGAUGAAGGCCUUAGGGUUGUAAAGCUCUUUUACCAGGGAUGAUAAUGACAGUACCUGGAGAAUAAGCUCCGGCUAACUCCGUGCCAGCCGCCGCCGUAA